Long non-coding RNA from Brassica rapa (field mustard), 2367 nucleotides. RefSeq lists it as uncharacterized. NCBI's taxonomy places the organism in Eukaryota, Viridiplantae, Streptophyta, Magnoliopsida, Brassicales, Brassicaceae. The record is from RefSeq and is a predicted model, not a curated record.
AAUAAUAAAGUUGACUUAUGAUCUCUCCUCCUUCUUCCACCUCAGCAUAGAGCAUAAGGCAAUUACUGACACGUGGCCUCCUCUCUUUAACUAUUUUGAAAUGUUUGUCAUUGGAGAUUUGUAACUUGAGCUAACUAUAAUCUGAUUAAUGGAAUGGACUAUUAAAGCUUUAGAAAAGAGGCCCAUAUUUUACAGGGUUUGGUUUGUUUUCCCGGUUGACAUGCAGAGUAUAAUCGGCUUGACUCUUCAGAUCUCACUUCUCCUACCUUUGUCUGUAUAACGGCUUGACUUACCGACUAUCCUCUUUCAGAUACAUUAAUUUUUGCAUUUACGUGUUUAUAAAUGGGAUCGUAGCCUGCGAUUAUCAGACCCACCACUCUUAACAAUGGGCUUCUAUCCGAGGUCUCCCUGAUUCGCGCUUUCGUACCAAAGUCGAGGGAUUCUUCGUCUUUCCAAAUCGAGGUAUUGUUAGAAAUCCUUCUUCUAGGACCUGACUGUGAUUCUCGAUUUCAAAUCUCUAAUGCGUUUGAUUUGCUUUUGAGAAGUGGAUAGAAAGGAAUAUGGGAUAGAUUAUAUCUUCUCCUUACUUCUGGUGUUAUUCUAUACAAGGAUAUUUCACUUUCAUGGAUUUUAUACGCCAUAGAAUUUGAGAUUUGAAUCGAAUGAAACCAUAGCCUCAAAAGCUUUGAGCCAGAAGUCUUAUGUCUUAGUGUUACUGACUAUAGCUGUUUGUUCUUCUUCUUUUUCUUUUCUAGGCUGUCUUUAAUUAGUGUCUAUUGUUUUAAAAUUUUGUUUUUCAGUGGAUUCUAUCUCCCAAAUACACCGACUUAUGAACCAUAUGGGAUUUUCUAAGUUCGUGGCCUUCCUUCUUAUUUGCGUAUUCAAGGUAUUCUAAGCUUCAUGCUCAUCCGGCGUAUUUGACCUUUUGUAUAAUUAUCAAGUAAAUAAGUAUCUUAUCUUCUUCUAUAAUGCAGGUUGUCGCACCUGUUAGAAUGACAUUCUAAAUGUAAGCCUGCCUAUUUUAUUCUUUCCUAUACUUCUUCUUCUAUCAUAUCUUUCUUUUUCUCAUAUUUGGAUUUCAGCCCUUUUGGAUACGUGACAUGUAUGAUACCUAUAAGCACGUUCUUUGCAUCCAUCCUCUGGUAAAUCUUCAUACAGCCGGAAGUAUAAAUUUUAUAGAUGUCAUUUUGUCUGAGUCUGCUGUCUCUUGAUCAUUCUGUUUACUCCCUUUUGCAGGUCUGUAAAUACUGCAUAUUUGGACAUUUCAAUUGCCUUCAUACAGAUUUUCAAAGGACACCACUCUCUUUUUGCUCAAAGCUUAUUUUAUAACUGUUGCAUUGAAUGUUGAUGCAAAGCUGCCAACGAUGUCGCUUAUCGCUUCAGACUUCAGCUUCUUGCCCGGUGUGAAAGAGCUCCAUUGGUCUCAACAACGAGAACACCACAGGUUGCCCUGAUGCUACAAUUGAUGAAGCAAGCACAAUGGACUCAACACCACUACCUUGUCAAGCGGAGACAGUGAUAAGCAUUGACAACAUAGCAAGUGAUUUCUCGUGGAAACAACAACAAUGCAUAAAAAGUAUUAGCUAAUCAUCAACAGCAUGAAGUGAAAUAAAGGUUUGGGGAUGCUUAGUGUUAGAGUGAGAUGCAAGUCGUGUAACUUCAAUCUCUGUUUAUGUUAUUGUUUACUUUGCUUUAUAAAAACCAAGCUGGAUUUUAUCAAGAAAACUUUUAAAAAUUGAUUUAUUAUUGUUUACUUUACUUUCUUAAAAUAAUCUUUAAGCCCUUAUGUAUUGACUCCUACCAUCAACUGAACGUUAAAGAUAAAACCAUAAAAGAAGAAAACAAGAAAACCGUUAUACAUACGGACAGUACACCACUUAGUAAUUUAAGACCAAAAAAAUGGCUCUCUUCCAUUAGUAAAAACUUUUAACAUUUUAACUCUGCAGGAGUCAAAAUGCAUAAACAUCCAUCGAAAGCUAAAGACUCCAAGUCUGAUUUCUCCGUCCAUGUACUAAAAAAAUCUAUUGUUAGUUCGGAACUUCAAAUUCUUAAUUCGAAAAAACAACGUCCGAAUCCGGCGCUGCGCGCCGGAACACCCUAGUUUCGAAAUAAACUUACAAUUUUAUACUCCCUCUGUUUCACAAUAGAUGAAGUUUUGGUUAUUUGCACACAUAUUAAGAAAUUAUUUUUUCUAAACAAAAAAUCAUUAAAAUAUAAUUUAAAACUAAUUUAUCUAAUUAUAAACAAAAAUAAUAAAAACACAAUUGGCUACACAAUUUUUGAUAAAGUUAAAGUUAUCUAGAUAUGUGAAAACAUCAUCUAUUGUGAAACAAAAAUAAUCACCUAAAACAUCAUCUAUAUUGAAAC